Molecule: ribosomal RNA, 274 nt
Filed under: uncultured bacterium
Lineage: Bacteria
Description: partial 16S ribosomal RNA
Rfam family: Bacterial small subunit ribosomal RNA
Source: RNAcentral
AUACGGAGGGUGCAAGCGUUGUCCGGAUUUAUUGGGUUUAAAGGGUGUGUAGGCGGUGUAUUAAGUCAGUGGUGAAAGCCUGCGGCUCAACCGUAGAACUGCCAUUGAUACUGACACACUUGAGUAUGGACGAGGUAGGCGGAAUUUAUGGUGUAGCGGUGAAAUGCAUAGAUACCAUAAAGAACACCGAUAGCGAAGGCAGCUUACUAGGCCAUAACUGACGCUGAGGCACGAAAGCGUGGGGAGCGAACAGGAUUAGAUACCCGGGUAGUCC